Molecule: long non-coding RNA, 1082 nt
Filed under: Brassica napus (rape)
Lineage: Eukaryota; Viridiplantae; Streptophyta; Magnoliopsida; Brassicales; Brassicaceae
Description: long non-coding RNA (BNAP_LNC022332)
Source: RNAcentral
CUUUACUGAAACACCAAAGCAAAAUAUGUCACUGAAAAGGGCAAAAAAUAAAACCUUCACAGUAUUGUGAAAUUAGGGAAAGAAGAUGCUUGGUUGUAGACUACAAACCGACACAUAGAACCCUAAAUCUGAUCAGGAGCUGUUUCCUUUGAGUUUACUUUGUUUGAGCACUAAGAUAUGGUCUAAUCACCGAACUUCUUUUGCUUCUUUGGGUAUAUUUAUCUCAUCACGGGUCGUCUCCACAAAAGAAAAAGGUAAAAUUAAAAACUUAGGGUUUCUUUAUUUUCUGAGAUCAAGAAACUUUCCCUAUGUAUCUUCACCAAUAAUCAGAGGAAUAAGGUUGAUUCAUGUCCAGAUGCAAAAUUCUUCAUAAAAUAUUUAUCAAGUUUGAUAGAAAAUAGUAUUCUUUUUUUUUGAGAAAAAGAAAAAUAAUAUUCUUAUUGUUUGAUUUUUGUUAGAAAAAUGAGAUCUAUCUCUGAGCUAAUUAAGACCGAUCGAACACUUUUUCUUUCUAGAAAGAUUUUCAUUUUUUUUUAGAGAACUGGCUUGAAGAUUUUCAUUUUUGAUAUAAGGAAAUAGGAGAGAGAGAGAGAGAUUACCGCUAAAGUUGUGGUGCAGAAGUUGCAGAGGACAUAGCAAACACGAUCAGAUGAUAAAUCUAUAGACAUUUUUGAACUUGUGGUUUCUCUUCAAUAAUAUCUCGCUUCUUGUUUGGGUUAUAUAAAAUUUUUAGGUAUGCGAAUGAAAUCAAAGAAGGAACUAUUUGAUCUUGGAAGAAUAAAUUAAAGAAAAAGCAAGCAAAUAAGAGAGCAGAAGGAUAUAGAGAGAUGGGUGGAGGAAGCGUACAAAAAAUCUGAAAAGAUUAAUGGGGUUUGUUUUGAGGGGAAGGGAGACCAGUGGGGACUAUACUACAAUGUUCUUUUUUACAUAAAGUUUCUAUUAUUUUUUCAGAGUUGAAUACUCAAGAAUAAAAUGAAUGUUCUCUCGUGUAAUUUUCUGCUUAGGGUAAAUUAUAUAUGUAUAUAUAACUUAAGAGAAUACUAAUUAAUAAAACUCUCACCUUUAAGAAAAUUAUUAAAAUG